GCGGACAUGGCGGAAUCGGUAGACGCAACGGACUUAAAAUCCGUUUCCCAUACGGGAGUGAGGGUUCGACCCCCUCUGUCCGCACCA
RNAcentral lists this transfer RNA (87 nucleotides) under Nitratireductor sp. RNAcentral's name for it is "tRNA-Leu". It matches the Rfam family "tRNA". From Rfam's summary of the family: Transfer RNA (tRNA) molecules are approximately 80 nucleotides in length. Their secondary structure includes four short double-helical elements and three loops (D, anti-codon, and T loops). Further hydrogen bonds mediate the characteristic L-shaped molecular structure. tRNAs have two regions of fundamental functional importance: the anti-codon, which is responsible for specific mRNA codon recognition, and the 3' end, to which the tRNAs corresponding amino acid is attached (by aminoacyl-tRNA synthetases). tRNAs cope with the degeneracy of the genetic code in two manners: having more than one tRNA (with a specific anti-codon) for a particular amino acid; and 'wobble' base-pairing, i.e. permitting non-standard base-pairing at the 3rd anti-codon position. The record is from RNAcentral. Lineage: Bacteria; Pseudomonadati; Pseudomonadota; Alphaproteobacteria; Hyphomicrobiales; Phyllobacteriaceae.